RNAcentral lists this ribosomal RNA (828 nucleotides) under uncultured bacterium. Its description in RNAcentral is "bacterial SSU rRNA". It matches the Rfam family "Bacterial small subunit ribosomal RNA", at positions 45 to 859 of the family's 1533-position model. The record is from RNAcentral.
GGUUAACCCCAUGCAAGUCGAGGGGGUACCAAUAUUCAAAGCUUGCUUUGACUGAUGACGACCGGCGGAUGGGUGAGUAACACGUUCCCACCCUACCGUAUUACACGGGGAUAGCCUUUCGAAAGAAAGAUUAAUACCCGAUGGGUGUAAAGAGAUCACCUGAUUUUUUUACUAAAGAAUUUAUCGGUAUACGAUGGGGAUGCGUUCCAUUAGAUCGUUGGUAGGGUAACGGCCUACCAAGUCAACGAUGGAUAGGGGUUCUGAGAGGAAGAUCCCCCACAUUGGAACUGAGACACGGUCCAAACUCCUACGGGAGGCAGCAGUGAGGAAUCUUGGUCAAUGGGCGCAAGGCCUGAACCAGCCACGUAGCGUGAAGGAAGACUGCCCUUAGGGUUGUAAACUUCUUUUAUAAGGGAAUAACGUCAGUAACGUGUUACUGAUUGCAUGUACCUUAUGAAUAAGGAUCGGCUAACUCCGUGCCAGCAGCCGCGGUAAUACGGAGGAUCCGAGCGUUAUCCGGAUUUAUUGGGUUUAAAGGGUGCGUAGGCGGGAGCGGAAGUCAGCUGUGAAAUUUUAUGGCUCAACCAUAAACUUGCAGUUGAAACUCCGUUUCUUGAGUACACAUGAGGUGGGCGGAAUUUGUGGUGUAGCGGUGAAAUGCUUAGAUAUCACGAGGAACUCCGAUUGCGAAGGCAGCUCACUGGGGUGUAACUGACGCUAAUGCACGAAGGUGUGGGUAUCAAACAGGAUUAGAUACCCUGGUAGUCCACACAGUAAACUAUGAAUACUCGCUGUUUGCGAUAUACAGUAAGCGGCUACGCGAAAGCA